This 950-nucleotide ribosomal RNA is filed under the name uncultured eukaryote. Its description in RNAcentral is "bacterial SSU rRNA". It matches the Rfam family "Eukaryotic small subunit ribosomal RNA", at positions 626 to 1604 of the family's 1831-position model. The record is from RNAcentral.
GCUCGUAGUUGGAUUUCGGUCCGGGGGUGGCGGUCCGCCGAAAGGUGUGCACUGCCGCGCCCGGUCUUCCUGCCGGGGACCUGCGUGCUCUUAAUUGACGUACGUAUGGGAAUCGGCGCUGUUACUUUGAAAAAAUUAGAGUGUUCAAAGCAGGCAUUUGCUCUGAAUAUAUUAGCAUGGAAUAACGCAAUAGGACUCGGGUUCUAUUUUGUUGGUUUUCGGAACCGGAGUAAUGAUUAAUAGGGACAGUUGGGGGCAUUCGUAUUCCGAUGUCAGAGGUGGAAUUCUUGGAUUUUCGGAAGACGAACUUCUGCGAAAGCAUUUGCCAAGGAUGUUUUCAUUAAUCAAGAACGAAAGUUAGGGGAUCGAAGAUGAUCAGAUACCGUCGUAGUCUUAACCAUAAAUGAUGCCGACUAGGGAUCAGCGGAUGUUUUUUUGAUGACUCCGUUGGCACCUUAUGAGAAAUCAAAGUUUUUGGGUUCCGGGGGGAGUAUGGUCGCAAGGCUGAAACUUAAAGGAAUCGACGGAAGGGCACCACCAGGAGUGGAGCCUGCGGCUUAAUUUGACUCAACACGGGGAAACUUACCAAGUCCAGACAUAGUAAGGAUUGACAGAUUGAGAGCUCUUUCUUGAUUCUAUGGGUGGUGGUGCAUGGCCGUUCUUAGUUGGUGGAGUGAUUUGUCUGGUUGAUUCCGUUAACGAACGAGACCACAGCCUGCUAACUAGUACGCCGAUGGUUUCAUCGGCGCCUACUUCUUAGAGGGACUAUUCCGGGAAACGGAAUGGAAGUUUGUGGCAAUAACAGGUCUGUGAUGCCCUUAGAUGUUCUGGGCUGCACGCGCGCUACACUGAUGAAAUCAACGAGUUUACAACCUGGGCCGAAGGGCUUGGGUAAUCUUUUGAAACUUCAUCGUGAUGGGGCUAGAUUAUUGCAAUUAUUAAUCUUCAAC